GGAGCUUUUGCCGCUAGCAAAGCUCUCAGAUACGCUCUGACCACAAUUGAAAUAGUUUGUCGCCCUGUCGCCAGCCACUUUUGUAGCCAUGUGGCUGGCGACCUAUUUACUGCGGCGUAUCCAUCAGAUACAUGCACAGAACAAUUGGAAACACAGAAAAAAGUAAGGAGGAGAUUAAGGGGUUUCCGAGAGAUCUAUUGGAAUGCGCUGGCUGCGGAAUCGAACAAUGCUGAAAAUGUAAAAUGCGAGAAUGCAAAAAAUUGCCGCCCCCUUGUAGGUGGUGGCUAAAAUGUUAAACGGAGCCCCAAAAGGCAAUUACACGCUAUCUGCUACAGCUGAACGGAACAGAACCCUCCUUCAAGACAAGAAAAACAGGCCAUGUAACCAAAAUUCAGUUUCGAUUUAGUUUCGUCAGUCGGCGGAUCGCGUCGACCCGCAAAAUACCCUAUAAGUGGUCGGUUCAUAUACAAUAAAGUCAAGAAAUUACA
Molecule: long non-coding RNA, 488 nt
Organism: Drosophila sechellia
Lineage: Eukaryota; Metazoa; Arthropoda; Insecta; Diptera; Drosophilidae
Exons: 2
Source: RefSeq, a predicted model, not a curated record